This 220-nucleotide ribosomal RNA is filed under the name uncultured bacterium. RNAcentral's name for it is "partial 16S ribosomal RNA". It matches the Rfam family "Bacterial small subunit ribosomal RNA", at positions 111 to 334 of the family's 1533-position model. The record is from RNAcentral.
UAAUGCUUGGGAAUCUAGCUUAUGGAGGGGGAUAACUACGGGAGACUGUAGCUAAUACCGCGUAGUAUCGAGAGAUGAAAGUGUGGGACCUUCGGGCCACAUGCCAUAGGAUGAGCCCAAGUGGGAUUAGGUAGUUGGUGAGGUAAAGGCUCACCAAGCCGACGAUCUCUAGCUGGUCUGAGAGGAUGACCAGCCACACUGGGACUGAGACACGGCCCAG